GACGAACGCUGGCGGCGUGCUUAACACAUGCAAGUCGAACGGAAAGGCCCCUUUGGGGGUACUCGAGUGGCGAACGGGUGAGUAACACGUGAGUAACCUGCCCUUGACUUCGGGAUAACUUCAGGAAACUGGGGCUAAUACCGGAUAGGAAUCCUUGCUGCAUGGUGGGGGUUGGAAAGCUUCGGCGGUUUUGGAUGGACUCGCGGCUUAUCAGCUUGUUGGUGGGGUAGUGGCUUACCAAGGCGUUGACGGGUAGCCGGCCUGAGAGGGCGACCGGCCACAUUGGGACUGAGGUACGGCCCAGACACCUACGGGAGGCAGCAGUGGGGAAGAUUGCACAAUGGGCGGAAGUCUGAUGCAGCAACGCCGCGGGCGGGAUGACGGCCUUCGGGUUGUAAACCGCUUUCAGCAGGGGCGAAGCUUGUGGUGACGGUACCUGCAGAAGAAGCACCGGCUAACUACGUG
Molecule: ribosomal RNA, 465 nt
Filed under: uncultured bacterium
Lineage: Bacteria
Description: partial 16S ribosomal RNA
Rfam family: Bacterial small subunit ribosomal RNA
Source: RNAcentral